Molecule: ribosomal RNA, 449 nt
Filed under: uncultured bacterium
Lineage: Bacteria
Description: partial 16S ribosomal RNA
Rfam family: Bacterial small subunit ribosomal RNA
Source: RNAcentral
AAUGAACGCUGGCGGCAGGCCUAACACAUGCAAGUCGAACGGAUCCUUCGGGAUUAGUGGCGGACGGGUGAGUAACGCGUGGGAACAUACCCUUUGGUACGGAAUAGCCUCGGGAAACUGGGAGUAAUACCGUAUGUGGUCGAGAGACGAAAGAUUUAUCGCCAAAGGAUUGGCCCGCGUUGGAUUAGGUAGUUGGUGGGGUAAUGGCCUACCAAGCCGACGAUCCAUAGCUGGUUUGAGGGGAUGAUCAGCCACACUGGGACUGAGACACGGCCCAGACUCCUACGGGAGGCAGCAGUGGGGAAUCUUAGACAAUGGGGGAAACCCUGAUCUAGCCAUGCCGCGUGAUCGAUGAAGGCCUUAGGGUUGUAAAGAUCUUUCAGGUGGGAAGAUAAUGACUGUACCACCUGAAGAAGCCCCGGCUAACUCCGUGCCAGCCGCCGCGGUAA